Pseudophryne corroboree (corroboree frog) is the source of this 813-nucleotide long non-coding RNA. RefSeq lists it as uncharacterized. The record is from RefSeq and is a predicted model, not a curated record. NCBI's taxonomy places the organism in Eukaryota, Metazoa, Chordata, Amphibia, Anura, Myobatrachidae. The transcript is spliced from 3 exons.
AUCACCGAUUCAAGGGAACGACGUGGAAUGAAAUCUCUGAAUCAGUUUCUUUGGGAGGUGGGUUCAAGCGAAGCAACGAAAGUUGCAAGAAAAGGUUACGCGACUGUAGAAGAUCCGUCAAUCGCAAGAUCCAAAAAGGGCAAAAAUUACACAAGGAUUGGGAAAAGAAGAUGGAGAACUACUUCGUACUUGUGCAGGAAGAAAUGGCAGGAACCAGUGCAGAAGGUAUUAUUUUUAAAAAUUCUAUAAAAUUAAUUUUUUAAUAUUCUUUUUAAAAAAGUAAUUAUUUAAACAAAAAUUUAAAUUUCUUAUUUCUUUCAAAAGGAGCCACAAAAGAUUCUACGCCAACAAAACAUAGCACGCCACAAACGGAAACAACGCCAAAGAAGAAAACAAAAUCGCAGAAAGAUUCCACAGUUAAGGCAAAGAGAAGAGUUUCUUUUGGAUAUCCGACAACUGGAGGAGGUGCUGAGGAUACCGAAACCCAGAUACAGCAUACAAUAUUGCCGAUUGAUUCAACACUGCAAGCAGCGACACUUCAAGCAGAAUCAGCCCAGAGGCACCCACCCACGGUGCAGGAAGAAACAUCAUCCCAACAGCCACUUCCAGAAGAAAAUUCAUCACAGGGGCACCCACAGACACUGCCAGAAGAGUCCUUUUCACAGAGCUACCCUGCAAUUGGAGACCAUAAUCUUGUUGAAAGAACAGAGCAAAUUCCGGACAUGGAAACUUCAGGCAGUGUACCAGAAGUCCUUGAAUCAACAACACCGGAAACUACGCGAGGAGGUAGCAAUUUUAUAUUUAUUUACAAUU